AUUGAACGCUGGCGGCAGGCCUAACACAUGCAAGUCGAACGAGUGGCGGACGGGUGAGUAAUGUCGGGGAAACUGCCUGACGGAGGGGGAUAACUACUGGAAACGGUAGCUAAUACCGCAUACCAUCAGAUGUGUCCAGAUGGGAAUAGCGAGUUGUGGGGGUAACGGCUCACCAAGGCGACGAUCCCUAGCUGGUCUGAGAGGAUGACCAACCACACUGGACCUGAAACACGGUCCAGACUCAUACGGGAGGCAGCAGUGGGGAAUAUUGAACAAUGGGCGCAAGCCUGAUGCAGCCAUGCCGCGUGUAUGAAGAAGGCCUUCGGGUUGUAAAGUACUUUCAGCGGGGAGGCGUUACCCGCAGAAGAAGCACCGGCUAACUCCGUGCCAGCAGCCGCGGUAAUUC
RNAcentral lists this ribosomal RNA (406 nucleotides) under uncultured bacterium. RNAcentral describes it as "partial 16S ribosomal RNA". It matches the Rfam family "Bacterial small subunit ribosomal RNA", at positions 30 to 526 of the family's 1533-position model. The record is from RNAcentral.